GACGAACGCUGGCGGCGUGCUUAACACAUGCAAGUCGAACGGAAAGGCCCUGCUUUUGUGGGGUGCUCGAGUGGCGAACGGGUGAGUAACACGUGAGUAACCUGCCCUUGACUUUGGGAUAACUUCAGGAAACUGGGGCUAAUACCGGAUAGGAGCUCCUGCUGCAUGGUGGGGGUUGGAAAGUUUCGGCGGUUGGGGAUGGACUCGCGGCUUAUCAGCUUGUUGGUGGGGUAGUGGCUUACCAAGGCUUUAACGGGUAGCCGGCCUGAGAGGGUGACCGGCCACAUUGGGACUGGGAUACGGCCCAGACUCCUACGGGAGGCAGCAGUGGGGAAUAUUGCACAAUGGGCGGAAGCCUGAUGCAGCAACGCCGCGUGCGGGAUGACGGCCUUCGGGUUGUAAACCGCUUUCGCCUGUGACGAAGCGUGAGUGACGGUAAUGGGUAAAGAAGCACCGGCUAACUACGUG
RNAcentral lists this ribosomal RNA (468 nucleotides) under uncultured bacterium. Its description in RNAcentral is "partial 16S ribosomal RNA". It matches the Rfam family "Bacterial small subunit ribosomal RNA", at positions 28 to 507 of the family's 1533-position model. The record is from RNAcentral.